Molecule: ribosomal RNA, 440 nt
Filed under: uncultured bacterium
Lineage: Bacteria
Description: partial 16S ribosomal RNA
Rfam family: Bacterial small subunit ribosomal RNA
Source: RNAcentral
CCUACGGGUGGCAGCAGUAGGGGAUAUUGCACAAUGGGGGGAACCCUGAUGCAGCAACGCCGCGUGGGUGAAGAAGCUUUUCGGCGCGUAAACCCCUAUCGGCAGGGAAGAAGAUGACGGUACCUGACGAAUAAGCACCGGCUAACUACGUGCCAGCAGCCGCGGUAAUACGGAGGGGGCAAGCGUUAUCCGGAUUUACUGGGCGUAAAGGGGGCGUAGGCGGCAAAACAAGCCAGAAGUGAAAGCCCGUGGCCUAACGACGGGACUGCUUUUGAAACUGUAAGGCUGGAGUGCAGGAGGGGUAGGUGGAAUUCCUAGGGUAGGGGUGAAAUGCGUAGAGAUUAGGAGGAACACUAGUGGCGAAGGCGGCCUACUGGAAUGUAACUGACGUUGAGGCACGAAAGUGUGGGUAGCGAACAGGAUUAGAUACCCUAGUAGUC